RNAcentral lists this ribosomal RNA (784 nucleotides) under Caulobacter sp. CUA-899. Its description in RNAcentral is "bacterial SSU rRNA". It matches the Rfam family "Bacterial small subunit ribosomal RNA", at positions 88 to 908 of the family's 1533-position model. Lineage: Bacteria; Pseudomonadati; Pseudomonadota; Alphaproteobacteria; Caulobacterales; Caulobacteraceae. The record is from RNAcentral.
CGACAUAGUGGCAGACGGGUGAGUAACGCGUGGGAACGUGCCCUUCACUACGGAAUAGCUUCUGGAAACGGAAGGUAAUACCGUAUACGCCCUUCGGGGGAAAGAUUUAUCGGUGAAGGAUCGGCCCGCGUUAGAUUAGUUUGUUGGUGGGGUAAUGGCCUACCAAGACUACGAUCUAUAGCUGGUCUGAGAGGAUGAUCAGCCACACUGGGACUGAGACACGGCCCAGACUCCUACGGGAGGCAGCAGUGGGGAAUCUUGCACAAUGGGCGAAAGCCUGAUGCAGCCAUGCCGCGUGAAUGAUGAAGGCCUUAGGGUUGUAAAAUUCUUUCGCCAGGGAUGAUAAUGACAGUACCUGGUAAAGAAGCCCCGGCUAACUUCGUGCCAGCAGCCGCGGUAAUACGAAGGGGGCUAGCGUUGUUCGGAAUUACUGGGCGUAAAGCGCGCGUAGGCGGGCUAUUAAGCCAGAUGUGAAAGCCCGGGGCUCAACCCCGGAAUUGCAUUUGGAACUGGUAGCCUAGAGACCAGGAGAGGUUAGCGGAAUACCGAGUGUAGAGGUGAAAUUCGUAGAUAUUCGGUGGAACACCAGUGGCGAAGGCGGCUAACUGGACUGGUACUGACGCUGAGGCGCGAAAGUGUGGGGAGCAAACAGGAUUAGAUACCCUGGUAGUCCACACCGUAAACGAUGAAUGCUAGUUGUCUGCGCGCAUGCGUGCAGGUGACGCAGCUAACGCAUUAAGCAUUCCGCCUGGGGAGUACGGCCGCAAGGUUAAAACUCAAAGAA